RNAcentral lists this ribosomal RNA (253 nucleotides) under uncultured bacterium. RNAcentral's name for it is "partial 16S ribosomal RNA". It matches the Rfam family "Bacterial small subunit ribosomal RNA", at positions 524 to 776 of the family's 1533-position model. The record is from RNAcentral.
GACGUAGGGCGCAAGCGUUGUCCGGAUUUAUUGGGCGUAAAGAGCUCGUAGGCGGCCUGUCGCGUCGACCGUGAAAACCCGCAGCUCAACUGCGGGCUUGCGGUCGAUACGGGCAGGCUGGAGUUCGGUAGGGGAGACUGGAAUUCCUGGUGUAGCGGUGAAAUGCGCAGAUAUCAGGAGGAACACCGGCGGCGAAGGCGGGUCUCUGGGCCGAUACUGACGCUGAGGAGCGAAAGCGUGGGGAGCGAACAGG